UAUAUAUUUGAUGAUUACUGAGACAGUUUGAGAUAUAUCCUCCCAUAUACUCUGGCUUUCCCAUAGUCUAUUUGAGAAGAAAAGGAAAUGGAGAGCAAGAAAGAAGUUGGUUCGUCAUCCUCAUUCACUGCUGAUCUUUUUGGUUCCAAACAAUCAUCAUCAUCAUCAUGCAAAGGGAUUUUCAGUUCAAUUUUUCCACCUCCAUCAAUGGCAUUAGAAUCAUGGACGAAACAGCCUUUACAACAUGGAAUGCAAGCUCCACUUGCUGAGAGUGCAACCUAUAGCAUAACCAACAAGGAAAUGAACUCUGUUUUCAAGGAAGAAAGGAUGGAACCAUGCCAUUUAAGUUCAUCUAUUUACUAUGGAGGCCGAGACAAUAUAUGGUCAUCCCUCAAGUACCCAAACUUCUACAUCAUAUCCUACUUUUAAGAAAGAUGGAGAAGAUCCUAACGGAAGCAAUUCACAGGAUGCUUCUAGGGGAAACUGGUGGCAAGGUACACUUCUUUUCUAAUGCAACUAUGAAUUAUACCAUAUCGAUAUCUCGAAACUCGACUUUGAUUUCUGCAGGUUCACUUUAUUAUUAGAGCCUAGCUUUUCAGUGCAUAGCACUGUCCAUCAGUUUCCCAAGGAAUUUUUCAUAAAAGCAAGCAAAUAAUCAUGGAAGAUAUAAAGUAUAAAUAAGUUUCUGACAUGGACAGAUCCUACAUAGGGUUCUGUAAUAUGACAUGUUUUCAUAAUUUUAUCCGGAAAUGAAUUUUGAGAAGUCUCCAUUAUAGGCUCUUCUCUGGGUAAUUUCUAUUUGGCUUAGGAGAAUGAUUGCUUCUAUAAAUAUAGAUACCAAUGCUUGAGAUGCAAUUUUCCAGUAUUCAUAAAGAAGGAUUGCCCUUUGCAAGGAAAAUAAAUUAAAUGCAAGACUGAAAUAGAAUAUCAACAUAUUUCUAGUGGCAAUGAGCAAGAAAAAGUUACUUUUACUGAUAUCUGCAAUUUCACAUGGUUCCAAGUGCAGAUAUGAGAUGAAAUUCUUCUUAACACACCGUCACUAGCAUUUCUUGCCUAAAUAAGCCAAGACUAUGUAGAUCCAAAUGUCCCUGUCAUGCCGUCUAUAUUUGUACCAGGCUGAAAGAGAUUACAGCCCAUAAAUUCAAAGAAAUAAAAUAGGUUUAAU
RNA transcript from Hibiscus syriacus, 1165 nucleotides. RefSeq lists it as uncharacterized. The transcript has 5 exons. The record is from RefSeq and is a predicted model, not a curated record. Lineage: Eukaryota; Viridiplantae; Streptophyta; Magnoliopsida; Malvales; Malvaceae.